RNAcentral lists this ribosomal RNA (913 nucleotides) under uncultured archaeon. RNAcentral's name for it is "bacterial SSU rRNA". It matches the Rfam family "Archaeal small subunit ribosomal RNA", at positions 28 to 922 of the family's 1478-position model. The record is from RNAcentral.
CCCUAUUGGUGGAUAGAAUGCUAGUCAGCGCUCUCUAGCCAAUAAGGGAGUGCGGCACAUAGCUCAGUAACACGUGGCUAACCUGCCCUCAAGACGGGGACAACCCCGGGAAACUGGGGCUAAUCCCUGAUAGGCGAAGAGCUCUGGAAUGAGCCUUUACCAGAAAGGACGAUUAGGUUAUGCUCCCAAUCGUCGCUCGAGGAUGGGGCCGCGUCCGAUCAGGUUGUUGGUGAGGUAACGGCUCACCAAGCCUUUGACCGGUGCGGGCCGUGGGAGCGGGAGCCCGGAGAUGGGCACUGAGACAAGGGCCCAGGCCCUACGGGGCGCAGCAGUCGCGCAAACUUUGCAAUACACGAAAGUGUGACAGGGCUAUCCCGAGUGCCGUCCGCUGAGGAUGGCUUUUAACCAGUCUAGAAAGCUGGUAGAAUAAGGAGAGGGCAAGUCUGGUGUCAGCCGCCGCGGUAAUACCAGCUCUCCGAGUGGUGUGGAUGUUUAUUGGGCCUAAAGCAUCCGUAGCUGGCCAAGUUAGUCCCCUGUUAAACCCAACGAAUUAAUCGUUGGAUUGCGGGGGAUACUGCUCGGCUAGGGGACGAGAGAGGCCGACGGUAUUCUCGGGGUAGGGGUGAAAUCCUAUAAUCCCGGGAAGACCACCAGUGGCGAAGGCUGUCGGCUAGAACGAGCCCGACGGUGAGGGAUGAAAGCUGGGGGAGCGAACCGGAUUAGAUACCCGGGUAGUCCCAGCUGUAAACGAUGCACGCUAGGUGUUUGGACGGCCACGUGCCGUUCUAGUGCCGCAGGGAAGCUGUUAAGCCUGCCGCCUGGGGAGUACGAUCGCAAGAUUGAAACUUAAAGGAAUUGGCGGGGGAGCACCACAAGGGGUGAAGCUUGCGGUUUAAUUGGAUUCAACGCCGGG